GUGAACGCCCUCACGGGCUUAUAACUAUUCCAAACCUCUGUGAACCGUGCCCUUCGGGGCUAUUUUACAAACAUGGUGUAAUGGACGUCAUAUAUCAUAACAAAACA
This 107-nucleotide unclassified non-coding RNA is filed under the name soil metagenome. RNAcentral's name for it is "partial internal transcribed spacer 1". The record is from RNAcentral.